This is a long non-coding RNA of Macadamia integrifolia, 308 nucleotides long. RefSeq lists it as uncharacterized. The transcript has 3 exons. Lineage: Eukaryota; Viridiplantae; Streptophyta; Magnoliopsida; Proteales; Proteaceae. The record is from RefSeq and is a predicted model, not a curated record.
AAGAGGAAGAGGAAGAGGAAGAGGAAGAGGAAGAAGAAGAAGAAAGAAGAAGGAAAAUCGAUUGUAGAGUUUCACCGAAGCUGGAUCUUGGUAUUUGAGCCCGGAAUUAUGAUCAGUUCGUCGAGGUCUUCGAUUUGAGGGUUUGGAAGGAGUGUUGAUGAAGAUCUAUAGUAUUUUGAGGUUCUUGAGCAAAAGAAAUAAAAUUUGAGGUUUCAUUAGUAUUCUUGAGAAAGAGGUUACACUCAAUAUACGCGUACCUACUCAUCGGAUCUUUUUUGUACCAGGUACAAACAUCGUGUACAUAUACA